This 1184-nucleotide long non-coding RNA is filed under the name Cucumis sativus (cucumber). RNAcentral describes it as "long non-coding RNA (CSAT_LNC001238)". The record is from RNAcentral. Lineage: Eukaryota; Viridiplantae; Streptophyta; Magnoliopsida; Cucurbitales; Cucurbitaceae.
ACCUCCCCCCUCUUCUUCUUCUAUCUAUAUACUAUCUUCUCUCUCUCUCUCUCCCCCUCACUCCAUCCAACGAACCCGCAAUUCUUCUCUUUCUCUUCAACGACAUUCAAUUUCUCUAUCUGGGUUUUGGGUUGCUUCUAUUUCUUCAUUUAGAUACGGCUAAUCGAAAGAAUUGGGGGGUAAUUUUAAUGGAAACCAAUAGUUUAGGCGGCGGCGGCGGCGGCGGUGUGGGUGGGAGUGGUGGAGGAGGAGGAGGAGGAGCUGGAGGAGGAGGGAUGUUUUCAGGCAUGAAUUCGUCAAUGCUGGGAUUGGAAUUACCACUUCAUCAAAACCCAACAAAUCCCACUAAUCCUCACCAAUUACAUCACCCUCCAAUGGUAUCUUAUGUCCAACAUGACCCCCAUCAUCACCAACAACCGCCGUCGGUCUCCGUGAAAUACCCUUUUCCGACAAAGGCUAAGCCACAGCAGUCGAAUCUCAGUGACGACGAGGAGCAGGGGUUCGCGGCGGAUGACAGUAAUGGAGAUGGCAAGAAGAAAAUCUCGCCGUGGCAGAGGAUGAAAUGGACGGAUAUGAUGGUUCGGCUGUUGAUUACGGCGGUGUUCUAUAUCGGCGAUGAAGGUGGGUCGGAGCCGGUGGACCAUGUCGGGAAGAAAAAACCAGUGGGGUUACUGCAAAAGAAGGGGAAAUGGAAAUCGGUAUCCAGAGCAAUGAUGGAAAAAGGAUUCUACGUUUCACCACAGCAAUGUGAAGACAAAUUCAACGAUUUAAACAAAAGAUACAAACGAGUUAACGAUAUUUUAGGGAAGGGAACAGCCUGCAAAGUAGUAGAGAAUCAAACAUUACUCGAUUCAAUGGAAUUAACACCAAAAACAAAAGAAGAAGUACGAAAAUUACUCAAUUCUAAACAUCUUUUCUUCAGAGAAAUGUGCGCUUACCACAACACUUGCCGUCACAGCACCACCCACCCCUCGCCGGACGCAGCAACAGAACCAUCCCACCUUCCACAACAACAACAGCAACAGCAACUAUGCUUCCACGCCACAGACACGACAACCUCCGCCAGUAUAGCAGCCGGCGAGGGUUCAAAAAGCGGAGAUGAGGAGGAAGAGGAGGAGGAAGAGGAGGAAUCGGAAGAGGAGGAAGAGGAUGAGGAAACAGAAGGGAGACAGGAAGAAGAGGAG